Molecule: ribosomal RNA, 237 nt
Filed under: uncultured bacterium
Lineage: Bacteria
Description: partial 16S ribosomal RNA
Rfam family: Bacterial small subunit ribosomal RNA
Source: RNAcentral
CCGGCACGGGUGAGUAACACGUAUCCAACCUGCCGUCUACUCUUGGACAGCCUUCUGAAAGGAAGAUUAAUACCAGAUGGCAUCAUGAGUCCGCAUGUUCACAUGAUUAAAGGUAUUCCGGUAGACGAUGGGGAUGCGUUCCAUUAGAUAGUAGGCGGGGUAACGGCCCACCUAGUCUUCGAUGGAUAGGGGUUCUGAGAGGAAGGUCCCCCACAUUGGAACUGAGACACGGUCCAA